AUGCACUAUACAAAGAAAGAAUUUUAAAAGCAGUAAGGGAAAAAGGUUACGUAACAUAUAAAGGCAGGCCUAUCAGAAUUACACCAGACUUCUCACCAGAGACUAUGAAAGCCAUAAGAUCCUGGACAGAUGUUAUACAGAUCCCAAGAGAACACAAAUGCCAACCCAGGCUACUAUACCCAGCAAAACUCUCAAUCACCAUAGAAAGAGAAACCAAGAUAUUCCAUGACACAACCAAAUUUACGCAAUUUCUUUCCACAAAUCCAACCCUACAAAGGAUAAUAGAUGGAAAACUCCAACACAAGGCAGGAAACUACCCACUAGAAAAAGCAAGAAAAUAAUCUUUUAACAAAACCCACACAAACAUAAUUCCACAUCUAACAACAAAAAUAACAGGACGUAACAAUCACUUUUCCUUAAUAUCUCUUAAUAUAAAAAUUAAUAUUAUCAACAUAACCUAGUGGAUUGAAAUUCAAAAAUAUGAGAAAUUAGAAAUUUGUUGUCUGUCAUCCAGUGGUCUCUCUAAUUUGGUAAUUGGAGAAAUAGGUCCAAUAUUGUACAAUCCAUAUACACUUUCUGCUUCUUUGUACAUGACAUUGUCUUGCUGUGUACCACAUAAUGGUCUUGAAAUCAUGCUUCUCCUAUCUCAGCCUAUUAGGAUUGUUUAUUUGAUGUUUUUACACUAUGCUAUGGUUUUCAAAAUAGCUUACAUAUUUCAAAAUUAUUUAUCCAGCCAAAAGAAACAUGGACAAUUAAUUUGGGAGAUGGCUUGUAAGAGAACAACAAAGAGUGAGACUGAAUCUUUUGUUUGAUAUUUAUAAUUAUUGUAUCAAUUUUGAAGAAGAGGACCUUAUAAGUUACUCUUUUUCUGAGAUGAAUGCUUUUCAAAAUCAUAACAGCCAAUGAACCCGAAUCUUACCCUCACCUAAUGUCUGUGCUACCCUCCAAGCAGAACCAUUGUUCAUUAAAACAGUUGAUGAACUACUUCAUGGAUAGACCAUCUUAAUACACACACCAUUUCUUCUUUUCUUUUCUUUUUUCUUUUUUGGUUUUUUGAGACAGGGUUUCUCUGUAUAGCCCUGGCUGUCCUGGAACUCACUUUGUAGACCAAGCUGUCCUCGAACUCAGAAAUCCGCGUGCCUCUGCCUCACGAGUGCUCGGAUUAAAGGUGUGCACCACCACCGCCCAGCUCACACACCAUUUCUUAAAUGAAUAUAACCUAUUCCCUGUGGGCUGAGAAUGAUGACAAUCACUCAAGUCAAAUAUCUUUGACCAUAGCAGGAAAUAUGUGUCCAAAUAAUUGUGCCUACAAUUCAUUCCUUGGCACAACAGAACUGUCAGCUCUUAGCUUAGCUACUAUAGAGGUGAAAUCCUUUGAUGAUGGGAGGGACAUUGAAGUACAGCCUUAUUACCAUGAAUUCCAGUGUCUAAAAAUUGUUCUUAUUUUCGGUUUGUACCACAGUAAGAGCCAAGAUUUUAAAGCUAUACU
This 1489-nucleotide long non-coding RNA is filed under the name Mus musculus (house mouse). Its description in RNAcentral is "long non-coding RNA chr1:106245574-106247063". The record is from RNAcentral. Lineage: Eukaryota; Metazoa; Chordata; Mammalia; Rodentia; Muridae.